RNAcentral lists this non-coding RNA (45 nucleotides) under Trichobilharzia regenti. Lineage: Eukaryota; Metazoa; Platyhelminthes; Trematoda; Strigeidida; Schistosomatidae. The record is from RNAcentral.
AUCCGGCUGACGAGUCCAAAACGGGUCGAAAUGAGCAUCCUGGAU